AAGGAUGUGAGAGAGUUGUCCCUGCUUGUCCAUCUGUGCUCUACCCUGAUAGUACUUUCCAGUGCAACUCUGCAAAAGAGCAGAAGACAUUUGAAUCGGCUGGGGAUCUGGUUCCUAUUACAGAUGACCCCGCAGACUUUUUCAGCUAGGAGCUUUGUUAGUGAAUAUCCAUUUGCUGUCUACAAUUCCACCUAAGAGAGUGAAGAUUGCUCAUUUUCUGUGUGCCUGAGAGACAGGGGAAAGUCAAGAUCCUACAAUGGCCAUCAUGGUGACUCCUCCUCUUUUCCUCCUCUUCAUCCUUUUGCCCUGCAGUAAAUCUCAGGAGGACUUUCUGGACCAGCAUCAGAAAUGGAACUACAGAGAAGGCGCUGACAAGGUCAACAUAGAAGGUGUUUACAGCAUUACUCAAACCCUCGAGAAAUGGGGAAAUGACAUCUUCUGGCAAAUGAAGCAUACCCUGCUGAACAACCCAAAUGCUCUCCUGCCUGAGUUCUCCAGUCUCCGCCCUGUCUCUGCAGCUGUGGACAACCUUGUGAGGGAAGUCCAGUCGAUAAGGAAAAGGCUGGAAGAACUGAACGAACGUCUCAAUGUCAUCAGCAAAACUGUCCUUCCCCUUCGACUGAAUGCUCUGCAGAGCCAGAGGCGUGGAAAUACUCAGCUGAGGAGACUCCCAACACACAGGAGAAGGUUAUAUGCUCGCAGGAGACCUCAGAGCAGACCUCAGAGCACUUAAUUCUCUACCAGAAAAAAGGGGAAAUCCUCUUUUUCUUUUUCAUCUGCUUAAGCCUUUCUCAAUGAGACAUUGCUGGAGAGAAAGAAAGUAAAGCACACAACAAGUCAGCUUUGCUAAGGAGACCAGAACUUCUGCAUUUUGUUGCUGCCUUAGGUCAGUAGGCAAAACCUGACCCUGUUCUUUAACGAUGGCUGUUUUGUGUCCCAAGCAAAAAAAAGUUGACAAGCUCAGUCUUCUUGAGCAUGAAUACCUUCAUUCUAUACAGGCAUUCUUUCUGCUUGCCAGAGGAAGCUCUUUCUAUAAAGAUCAGGUGAAUUUC
Melozone crissalis (California towhee) is the source of this 1052-nucleotide long non-coding RNA. RefSeq lists it as uncharacterized. The transcript has 4 exons. The record is from RefSeq and is a predicted model, not a curated record. Lineage: Eukaryota; Metazoa; Chordata; Aves; Passeriformes; Passerellidae.